UACGGAGGGUGCGAGCGUUGUCCGGAAUCACUGGGCGUAAAGGGCGCGUAGGCGGCCUGAUAAGUAGGGGGUGAAAUCCUGCGGCUUAACCGCAGGGCUGCCUUCUAAACUGUCAGGCUCGAGCACAGUAGAGGCAGGUGGAAUUCCCGGUGUAGCGGUGGAAUGCGUAGAGAUCGGGAUGAACAUCAGUGGCGAAGGCGGCCUGCUGGGCUGUUGCUGACGCUGAGGCGCGACAGCGUGGGGAGCAAACAGG
Molecule: ribosomal RNA, 253 nt
Filed under: uncultured bacterium
Lineage: Bacteria
Description: partial 16S ribosomal RNA
Rfam family: Bacterial small subunit ribosomal RNA
Source: RNAcentral